ACGGGAGACACACGGCGGGUGCUAACGUCCGUCGUGAAGAGGGAAACAACCCAGACCGCCAGCUAAGGUCCCAAAGUCAUGGUUAAGUGGGAAACGAUGUGGGAAGGCCCAGACAGCCAGGAUGUUGGCUUAGAAGCAGCCAUCAUUUAAAGAAAGCGUAAUAGCUCACUGGUCGAGUCGGCCUGCGCGGAAGAUGUAACGGGGCUAAACCAUGCACCGAAGCUGCGGCAGCGACACUAUGUGUUGUUGGGUAGGGGAGCGUUCUGUAAGCCUGUGAAGGUGUGCUGUGAGGCAUGCUGGAGGUAUCAGAAGUGCGAAUGCUGACAUAAGUAACGAUAAAGCGGGUGAAAAGCCCGCUCGCCGGAAGACCAAGGGUUCCUGUCCAACGUUAAUCGGGGCAGGGUGAGUCGACCCCUAAGGCGAGGCCGAAAGGCGUAGUCGAUGGGAAACAGGUUAAUAUUCCUGUACUUGGUGUUACUGCGAAGGGGGGACGGAGAAGGCUAUGUUGGCCGGGCGACGGUUGUCCCGGUUUAAGCGUGUAGGCUGAUUUUCCAGGCAAAUCCGGAAAAUCAAGGCUGAGGCGUGAUGACGAGGCACUACGGUGCUGAAGCAACAAAUGCCCUGCUUCCAGGAAAAGCCUCUAAGCAUCAGGUAACAUCAAAUCGUACCCCAAACCGACACAGGUGGUCAGGUAGAGAAUACCAAGGCGCUUGAGAGAACUCGGGUGAAGGAACUAGGCAAAAUGGUGCCGUAACUUCGGGAGAAGGCACGCUGAUAUGUAGGUGAAGCGACUUGCUCGUGGAGCUGAAAUCAGUCGAAGAUACCAGCUGGCUGCAACUGUUUAUUAAAAACACAGCACUGUGCAAACACGAAAGUGGACGUAUACGGUGUGACGCCUGCCCGGUGCCGGAAGGUUAAUUGAUGGGGUUAGCGGUAACGCGAAGCUCUUGAUCGAAGCCCCGGUAAACGGCGGCCGUAACUAUAACGGUCCUAAGGUAGCGAAAUUCCUUGUCGGGUAAGUUCCGACCUGCACGAAUGGCGUAAUGAUGGCCAGGCUGUCUCCACCCGAGACUCAGUGAAAUUGAACUCGCUGUGAAGAUGCAGUGUACCCGCGGCAAGACGGAAAGACCCCGUGAACCUUUACUAUAGCUUGACACUGAACAUUGAGCCUUGAUGUGUAGGAUAGGUGGGAGGCUUUGAAGUGUGGACGCCAGUCUGCAUGGAGCCGACCUUGAAAUACCACCCUUUAAUGUUUGAUGUUCUAACGUUGGCCCGUUAUCCGGGUUGCGGACAGUGUCUGGUGGGUAGUUUGACUGGGGCGGUCUCCUCCUAAAGAGUAACGGAGGAGCACGAAGGUUGGCUAAUCCUGGUCGGACAUCAGGAGGUUAGUGCAAUGGCAUAAGCCAGCUUGACUGCGAGCGUGACGGCGCGAGCAGGUGCGAAAGCAGGUCAUAGUGAUCCGGUGGUUCUGAAUGGAAGGGCCAUCGCUCAACGGAUAAAAGGUACUCCGGGGAUAACAGGCUGAUACCGCCCAAGAGUUCAUAUCGACGGCGGUGUUUGGCACCUCGAUGUCGGCUCAUCACAUCCUGGGGCUGAAGUAGGUCCCAAGGGUAUGGCUGUUCGCCAUUUAAAGUGGUACGCGAGCUGGGUUUAGAACGUCGUGAGACAGUUCGGUCCCUAUCUGCCGUGGGCGCUGGAGAACUGAGGGGGGCUGCUCCUAGUACGAGAGGACCGGAGUGGACGCAUCACUGGUGUUCGGGUUGUCAUGCCAAUGGCACUGCCCGGUAGCUAAAUGCGGAAGAGAUAAGUGCUGAAAGCAUCUAAGCACGAAACUUGCCCCG
Molecule: ribosomal RNA, 1841 nt
Filed under: Escherichia coli
Lineage: Bacteria; Pseudomonadati; Pseudomonadota; Gammaproteobacteria; Enterobacterales; Enterobacteriaceae
Description: partial 23S ribosomal RNA
Rfam family: Bacterial large subunit ribosomal RNA
Source: RNAcentral